AACGAACGCUGGCGGCAUGCCUAACACAUGCAAGUCGAACGAGACCUUCGGGUCUAGUGGCGCACGGGUGCGUAACGCGUGGGAACCUGCCCUUAGGUUCGGAAUAACUCCCCGAAAGGGGUGCUAAUACCGGAUAAUGUCUUCGGACCAAAGAUUUAUCGCCUUUGGAUGGGCCCGCGUUGGAUUAGCUAGUUGGUAGGGUAAAAGCCUACCAAGGCGACGAUCCAUAGCUGGUCUGAGAGGAUGAUCAGCCACACUGGGACUGAGACACGGCCCAGACUUCUACGAGAGACAGGAGUGGAGUAUAUUGGACUGUGCGCGAACGUCUGACACCGCAAUGCCGCGUGAGAGAUAAAGGCCUUAGUGUUAAAGUUCUUUUACCCGGGAUGAUAAUGACAGUACCGGGAGAAUAAGCUCCGGCUAACUCCGUG
RNAcentral lists this ribosomal RNA (431 nucleotides) under uncultured bacterium. RNAcentral describes it as "partial 16S ribosomal RNA". It matches the Rfam family "Bacterial small subunit ribosomal RNA", at positions 29 to 507 of the family's 1533-position model. The record is from RNAcentral.